This 287-nucleotide signal recognition particle RNA is filed under the name Vombatus ursinus (common wombat). RNAcentral describes it as "Metazoan signal recognition particle RNA (ENSVURG00010002096.1)". It matches the Rfam family "Metazoan signal recognition particle RNA". Rfam says of the family: The signal recognition particle (SRP) is a universally conserved ribonucleoprotein. It is involved in the co-translational targeting of proteins to membranes. The eukaryotic SRP consists of a 300-nucleotide 7S RNA and six proteins: SRPs 72, 68, 54, 19, 14, and 9. The record is from Rfam by way of RNAcentral. Lineage: Eukaryota; Metazoa; Chordata; Mammalia; Diprotodontia; Vombatidae.
GCCUGGCAUUGUGGUACAUACCUAUAAUCCCUGCAACCAGGGAGGCGGAGAAUCUCUUGAGUUCAAGAGUUCUGAGCUUCAGUGGGCUAAGUCACUUAUAUCUCUGCACUAAAUUCAGCAUUGAUAUCAUGAGACCCAAGGAGUGGGGAUAAUAGAUUGCCCAAGUUGGAGCACUCUGGCUCAUGUCAGAAAUGCAGCAGGUCAGAGCUCCUGUGCCAAUGAAAGUGGGAUUGAGCCCAUAAAUAGCCUCCUACACUGCCAGCCUGGGCAAUAUGCAGAGACCUGAU